RNAcentral lists this ribosomal RNA (273 nucleotides) under uncultured Macrococcus sp. RNAcentral describes it as "partial 16S ribosomal RNA". It matches the Rfam family "Bacterial small subunit ribosomal RNA", at positions 1003 to 1277 of the family's 1533-position model. The record is from RNAcentral. Lineage: Bacteria; Bacillati; Bacillota; Bacilli; Caryophanales; Staphylococcaceae.
GAUAGAGUUUUCCCCUUCGGGGGACAGAGUGACAGGUGGUGCAUGGUUGUCGUCAGCUCGUGUCGUGAGAUGUUGGGUUAAGUCCCGCAACGAGCGCAACCCUUAAGCUUAGUUGCCAUCAUUAAGUUGGGCACUCUAAGUUGACUGCCGGUGACAAACCGGAGGAAGGUGGGGAUGACGUCAAAUCAUCAUGCCCCUUAUGAUUUGGGCUACACACGUGCUACAAUGGACAAUACAAAGGGCAGCGAAACCGCGAGGUCAAGCAAAUCCCAU